CCUACGGGGGGCAGCAGUGAGGAAUAUUGGUCAAUGGACGAGAGUCUGAACCAGCCAAGUAGCGUGAAGGAUGACUGCCCUAUGGGUUGUAAACUUCUUUUAUAUGGGAAUAAAAUGUUCCACGUGUGGGAUUUUGUAUGUACCAUAUGAAUAAGGAUCGGCUAACUCCGUGCCAGCAGCCGCGGUAAUACGGAGGAUCCGAGCGUUAUCCGGAUUUAUUGGGUUUAAAGGGAGCGUAGGUGGAUUGUUAAGUCAGGUGUGAAAGUUUGCGGCUCAACCGUAAAAUUGCAGUUGAAACUGGCAGUCUUGAGUACGGUAGAGGUGGGCGGAAUUCGUGGUGUAGCGGUGAAAUGCUUAGAUAUCACGAAGAACUCCGAUUGCGAAGGCAGUUCACUGGACUGCAACUGACGCUGAGGCUCGAAAGUGUGGGUAUCAAACAGGAUUAGAUACCCGUGUAGUC
This 460-nucleotide ribosomal RNA is filed under the name uncultured bacterium. Its description in RNAcentral is "partial 16S ribosomal RNA". It matches the Rfam family "Bacterial small subunit ribosomal RNA", at positions 338 to 795 of the family's 1533-position model. The record is from RNAcentral.